Molecule: ribosomal RNA, 253 nt
Filed under: uncultured bacterium
Lineage: Bacteria
Description: partial 16S ribosomal RNA
Rfam family: Bacterial small subunit ribosomal RNA
Source: RNAcentral
UACGGGGGGGGCAAGCGUUGUUCGGAAUUACUGGGCGUAAAGGGUUUGUAGGUGGCUUGUUAAGUCAGACGUGAAAUCCCUCAGCUUAACUGGGGAACUGCGUCUGAUACUGGCGAGCUUGAGUGCAGGAGAGGAACGCGGAAUUUCAGGUGUAGCGGUGAAAUGCGUAGAUAUCUGGAGGAACACCGGUGGCGAAGGCGGCGUUCUGGACUGCAACUGACACUGAGAAACGAAAGCCAGGGUAGCAAACGGG